RNAcentral lists this non-coding RNA (164 nucleotides) under human gut metagenome. RNAcentral describes it as "Lysine riboswitch". It matches the Rfam family "Lysine riboswitch aptamer". From Rfam's summary of the family: Riboswitches are metabolite binding domains within certain messenger RNAs that serve as precision sensors for their corresponding targets. Allosteric rearrangement of mRNA structure is mediated by ligand binding, and this results in modulation of gene expression. The record is from RNAcentral.
CUGAUAGAGGUUGCAAAAAGGAUGAUUAGCCACGCGUAACGACGGCAAUUCGGCGCGCGGCGAAAGGCCGAUUUGCCGAAGCAUUCCGUGCGGUUGCCGCCGCGGGUCUGCUGGGGCCGUUGCCGAACAGGUGCGGAACUGUCACGUUUAUGUGGAGAGCUAUC